CCCCUCUCAGAAGCACACCUGGAGAGUUUCCAGUCCUCUACCAGUCUUGACUACAGGAGGGAGAGUCAGGCAGAGGCAUACCCAUUCCGGUCCUAGCUUGGGCAGUGGCUAGUGAGUGGAAGGCCAUCUGCUACAAGG
Molecule: small nucleolar RNA, 138 nt
Organism: Ornithorhynchus anatinus (platypus)
Lineage: Eukaryota; Metazoa; Chordata; Mammalia; Monotremata; Ornithorhynchidae
Source: RefSeq, a predicted model, not a curated record